RNAcentral lists this ribosomal RNA (358 nucleotides) under uncultured bacterium. RNAcentral describes it as "bacterial SSU rRNA". It matches the Rfam family "Bacterial small subunit ribosomal RNA", at positions 43 to 394 of the family's 1533-position model. The record is from RNAcentral.
ACAGGCUUAACACAUGCAAGUCGAGGGGCAGCAUAUUUAUAGCAAUAUAGAUGAUGGCGACCGGCGCACGGGUGAGUAACACGUAUCCAACCUCCCUUUUACUCGGAGAUAGCCUUUCGAAAGAAAGAUUAAUACCCGAUAGUAUAUGGUUUUCUCAUGAAGACCCUAUUAAAGAAUUUCGGUAAAAGAUGGGGAUGCGUUCCAUUAGGCAGUUGGCGGGGUAACGGCCCACCAAACCUACGAUGGAUAGGGGUUCUGAGAGGAAGGUCCCCCACAUUGGAACUGAGACACGGUCCAAACUCCUACGGGAGGCAGCAGUGAGGAAUAUUGGUCAAUGGGCGAGAGCCUGAACCAGCCA